UCCUGGCUCAGAUUGAACGCUGGCGGCAUGCUUUACACAUGCAAGUCGAACGGUAACAGGUCUUCGGAUGCUGACGAGUGGCGAACGGGUGAGUAAUACAUCGGAACGUGCCUAGUAGUGGGGGAUAACUACUCGAAAGAGUAGCUAAUACCGCAUGAGAUCUACGGAUGAAAGCAGGGGACCUUCGGGCCUUGUGCUACUAGAGCGGCUGAUGGCAGAUUAGGUAGUUGGUGGGGUAAAGGCUUACCAAGCCUGCGAUCUGUAGCUGGUCUGAGAGGACGACCAGCCACACUGGGACUGAGACACGGCCCAGACUCCUACGGGAGGCAGCAGUGGGGAAUUUUGGACAAUGGGCGAAAGCCUGAUCCAGCAAUGCCGCGUGCAGGAUGAAGGCCCUCGGGUUGUAAACUGCUUUUGUACGGAACGAAAAGCCUGGGGCUAAUAUCCCCGGGUCAUGAC
This 459-nucleotide ribosomal RNA is filed under the name uncultured Comamonas sp. Its description in RNAcentral is "bacterial SSU rRNA". It matches the Rfam family "Bacterial small subunit ribosomal RNA", at positions 17 to 473 of the family's 1533-position model. The record is from RNAcentral. Lineage: Bacteria; Pseudomonadati; Pseudomonadota; Betaproteobacteria; Burkholderiales; Comamonadaceae.